This 342-nucleotide long non-coding RNA is filed under the name Gossypium barbadense (sea-island cotton). RNAcentral's name for it is "long non-coding RNA (GBAR_LNC006867)". Lineage: Eukaryota; Viridiplantae; Streptophyta; Magnoliopsida; Malvales; Malvaceae. The record is from RNAcentral.
GUAGGCCAAUUUUAACCCAUUUACAUCAAAAUCCAAUUUAACCUUACCUAACCCACCAAAAUUAAACCCAAAACCCAAAAUCUUAACUACCCAAAGCCCAAUUUACAUCAAAACCCCAAUGGCCCAAACCCUAAGCCCAAAUCAAAAUAAAAAAAUCCUAGCCCACAACCUAAACUUUUCUCAACUAAAUCCUAGCCUUUGCCACCACCAACUCCACUAGCCACACUUGCUCCACCACCAACUCCACUAGCCACACUUGCUCCACCACCUACUCCACUAGCCACACUUGCUCCACCACCUACUCCAUUAGCCACACUUGCUCCACCACCACUUGUACCUACA